AUUGAACGCUGGCGGCAGGCCUAACACAUGCAAGUCGAGCGGAUGAAGGGAGCUUGCUCCUGGAUUCAGCGGCGGACGGGUGAGUAAGGCCUAGAAAUCUGCCUGGUAGCGGGGGAUAACUUCCGGAAACGGGCGCUAAUACCGCAUACGUCCUGAGGGAGAAAGUGGGGGAUCUUCGGACCUCACGCUAUCAGAUGAGCCGAGGUCGGAUUAGCUAGUUGGUGGGGUAAAGGCCUACCAAGGCGACGAUCCGUAACUGGUCUGAGAGGAUGAUCAGUCACACUGGAACUGAGACACGGUCCAGACUCCUACGGGAGGCAGCAGUGGGGAAUAUUGGACAAUGGGCGAAAGCCUGAUCCAGCCAUGCCGCGUGUGUGAAGAAGGUCUUCGGAUUGUAAAGCACUUUAAGUUGGGAGGAAGGGCAGUAAGUUAAUACCUUGCUGUUUUGACGUUACCAACAGAAUAAGCACCGGCUAACUUCGUG
This 484-nucleotide ribosomal RNA is filed under the name uncultured bacterium. RNAcentral describes it as "partial 16S ribosomal RNA". It matches the Rfam family "Bacterial small subunit ribosomal RNA", at positions 30 to 507 of the family's 1533-position model. The record is from RNAcentral.